Molecule: ribosomal RNA, 478 nt
Filed under: uncultured Lachnospiraceae bacterium
Lineage: Bacteria; Bacillati; Bacillota; Clostridia; Lachnospirales; Lachnospiraceae
Description: partial 16S ribosomal RNA
Source: RNAcentral
CACGUAGUUAGCCGGGGCUUCUUAGUCAGGUACCGUCAUUUUCUUCCCUGCUGAUAGAGCUUUACAUACCGAAAUACUUCAUCGCUCACGCGGCGUCGCUGCAUCAGGGUUCCCCCCAUUGUGCAAUGUCCCCCACUGCUGCCUCCCGUAGGAGUUUGGGCCGUGUCUCAGUCCCAAUGUGGCCGUUCACCCUCUCAGGCCGGCUACUGAUCGUCGCCUUGGUGGGCCGUUACCCCACCAACCAGCUAAUCAGACGCGGGUCCAUCUCAUACCACCGGAGUUUUUACCACUGUACCAUGCAGUACUGUGUCUUAUGCGGUAUUAGCAGUCAUUUCUAACUGUUACUCCCCCUGUAUGAGGCAGGUUACCCACGCGUUACUCACCCGUCCGCCGCUCAGUCAAAUUCCUUUUACCUACCCGAAAGAAUACAAAAGCAAAAGUGUCCUUCGCCUCGACUUUGCCUAGUGUGUUACGGGAC